CAGUCGCCGCGGUAAAACGGAGGGGGCUAGCGUUGUUCGGAAUUACUGGGCGUAAAGCGCACGUAGGCGGCUUGGUAAGUUAGAGGUGAAAGCCUGGAGCUCAACUCCAGAAUUGCCUUUAAGACUGCCGAGCUAGCAGGUGAGAGAGGUAAGUGGAAUUCCGAGUGUAGAGGUGAAAUUCGUAGAUAUUCGGAAGAACACCAGUGGCGAAGGCGGCUUACUGGCCCAUACUGGACGCUGAGGUGCGAAAGCGUGGGGAGCAAACGGGAUUAGAUACCCGCGUAGUCCCUGUCUCUUAUAA
This 301-nucleotide ribosomal RNA is filed under the name uncultured bacterium. Its description in RNAcentral is "partial 16S ribosomal RNA". It matches the Rfam family "Bacterial small subunit ribosomal RNA", at positions 509 to 809 of the family's 1533-position model. The record is from RNAcentral.